This 839-nucleotide ribosomal RNA is filed under the name uncultured archaeon. Its description in RNAcentral is "bacterial SSU rRNA". It matches the Rfam family "Archaeal small subunit ribosomal RNA", at positions 21 to 859 of the family's 1478-position model. The record is from RNAcentral.
AGGUUACUGCUAUCGGUGUUCGCCUAAGCCAUGCGAGUCAUAUGUUCUUCGUGAACAUGGCGUACUGCUCAGUAACACGUGGAUAACCUGCCCUUGGGUCCGGCAUAACCCCGGGAAACUGGGGAUAAUUCCGGAUAACGCACAUAUGCUGGAAUGCUUUAUGCGUCAAAUGGAUUCGUCCGCCCAAGGAUGGGUCUGCGGCCUAUCAGGUAGUAGUGGGUGUAAUGUACCUACUAGCCUACGACGGGUACGGGUUGUGAGAGCAAGAGCCCGGAGAUGGAUUCUGAGACAUGAAUCCAGGCCCUACGGGGCGCAGCAGGCGCGAAAACUUUACAAUGCGGGAAACCGUGAUAAGGGGACACCGAGUGCCAGCAUCAUAUGCUGGCUGUCCGGGUGUGUAAAAUACACCUGUUAGCAAGGGCCGGGCAAGACCGGUGCCAGCCGCCGCGGUAACACCGGCGGCCCGAGUGGUGAUCGUGAUUAUUGGGUCUAAAGGGUCCGUAGCCGGUUUGGUCAGUCCUCCGGGAAAUCUGACGGCUUAACCGUUAGGCUUUCGGGGGAUACUGCCAGACUUGGAACCGGGAGAGGUAAGAGGUACUACAGGGGUAGGAGUGAAAUCUUGUAAUCCCUGUGGGACCACCUGUGGCGAAGGCGUCUUACCAGAACGGGUUCGACGGUGAGGGACGAAAGCUGGGGGCACGAACCGGAUUAGAUACCCGGGUAGUCCCAGCCGUAAACGAUGCUCGCUAGGUGUCAGGCAUGGCGCGACCGUGUCUGGUGCCGCAGGGAAGCCGUGAAGCGAGCCACCUGGGAAGUACGACCGCAAGGUUGAAACUUAA